UGCGAUCAGUAAUGUGAAUUGCAGAAUUCAGUGAAUCAUCGAAUCUUUGAACGCACCUUGCGCUCCUUGGUAUUCCUUGGAGCAUGCCUGUUUGAGUAUCAUGAAAUCUUCAAAGUAAAUCUUUUGUUAACUCAAUUGGUUUCUACUUUGGUAUUGGAGGUCUUUGCAGCUUCACACCUGCUCCUCUUUGUUCAUUAGCUGGAUCUCAGUGUUAUGCUUGGUUCCACUCGGCGUGAUAAGUUAUCUAUCGCUGAGGACACUGUAAAAGGUGGCCAAGGUAAAUGCAGAUGAACCGCUUCUAAUAGUCCAUUGACUUGGACAAUACUUUUAUGAUCUGAUCUCAAAUCAGGUAGGACUACCCGCUGAACUUAAGC
This 374-nucleotide unclassified non-coding RNA is filed under the name plant metagenome. Its description in RNAcentral is "partial contains 5.8S ribosomal RNA, internal transcribed spacer 2, and large subunit ribosomal RNA". The stretch from base 1 to 101 matches the Rfam family "5.8S ribosomal RNA", at positions 54 to 154 of the family's 154-position model. The record is from RNAcentral.